UACGUAGGGCGCAAGCGUUGUCCGGAAUCACUGGGUGUAAAGGGUGCGUAGGCGGGUGGAUAAGUCCGCGGUGAAAUCUCACGGCUCAACCGUGAAACUGCCGAUGAUACUGUCCAUCUUGAGUUUGGGAGAGGUCGAUGGAAUUCCAGGUGUAGCGGUGAAAUGCGUAGAUAUCUGGAAGAACACCAGUGGCGAAGGCGGUCGACUGGCCCACAACUGACGCUGAGGCACGAAAGCGUGGGGAUCAAACAGG
RNAcentral lists this ribosomal RNA (253 nucleotides) under uncultured bacterium. Its description in RNAcentral is "partial 16S ribosomal RNA". It matches the Rfam family "Bacterial small subunit ribosomal RNA", at positions 524 to 776 of the family's 1533-position model. The record is from RNAcentral.